Long non-coding RNA from Poecile atricapillus (Black-capped chickadee), 1644 nucleotides. RefSeq lists it as uncharacterized. NCBI's taxonomy places the organism in Eukaryota, Metazoa, Chordata, Aves, Passeriformes, Paridae. The record is from RefSeq and is a predicted model, not a curated record. The transcript has 4 exons.
UCGCCCUUUCGGCGGGCGCGGGGCGGCGGGAGCGGAGCUGCUGAGGGGCUUCAGCGCAGCUCUGGCGGGGCCGCAGCAGGACCGCGACCGGCCUCGGCCUCCCCCUCUCCCGGCGGGGUCAGCGGGAAGCGCUGCGUCCCUCAUGCGCAGGAAACCGGUGCUGUUUGAGGCGGCUCCACAGCUGCGCCUGCCCCCGCUAUGCUACGGCGAGGCUCCCUCAGGGCCGGUGCCGCUUUCCCCGGGCGCUGAGCGGCUGCGGCGGAAGGAACGAGCCAGCCUGGCAGUGGACAAAAAAUGAACCAGCCAAGAUGGUGUGACUUUAAAAACGAAGGGUAAUCCUUCAGAAAAAGGCUGCUCGAGCAAGCUUCAACCUUAUCUAACUUGAAGCAGCAGUGUUGUAACCAGGCUUUGGGGCGUGGCUGAACAGCAUCCCGGUAUUUCCCACGUUUCCCGAGGCCGUGCAGAGCCGGAGGAGCCGCGGGCCAGGUGAGCUGCAGUGCUGGGAGCUGCCCAGCCCCUGCCCCAGCUCGUGUUGCAGGCGUGGCUGCAGUGCCACGUCUGUGUCAUUCGGUGGCAGACAGCAACAGGCGAUGUCUUCCCUGGUGCUCUGAGCCCUGUGAGCUCUCAGGAUUGCUCAACAACCUGACACUUCCUGAUGGCUUUUCCUGGUCCUUGGAUGGGGAAUGGUGAGGGGUGGACAGCACACAGCUGACACUGUCCUUCAGUCCUUGGUCAGGGACACCUUCCACUAUCCCAGGCUGCUGCUCCCUGGAUCCAAAUCGUGCUGUGUGCCACUGCCCCUUCUUGAGGGAUGCCAGAAACGGAGCGAGAGCAGCUCUGGGCAUGCAGGGAUGGUGACCCUGAGGCUUUGCUGCUUUCCUCACACCGGGGGUCCUGCAUGGGCACUGAGUGCUAAUGAGUGGCUCUUUAGAGCUUCCCUGUGUGAGGCACAGCAGAACCAUGGACAUUUUCCUGAUGGCAUUUGCUGGAACUGCCCUUCCCCAAGCAGCAUUCCUGGGCCAUGGAUAUUGCUUUGCUGGCUCUCAGCUGUGGAAAACGUCAAUGUUUUGCAUGAAAGUGGUUUUGAGAGAAAUUAAAAAUCUCUGUGUGCACAAGACAGCCCUUCAUCACCAAGGGCUGGUUUGUGUCAUGGCUUCAAAGGCUGGGAUAAGUCCAGAUUAUUUUUCCCUGCACUAUUAAUAGCUUGGCUCUGCACCAGGGUUGGCAAACUCACCUUGGAUUUUUAGGGAGUGAUGGAAUAGCCCAAAGCAGGCUUGAGCUAUCCUGCUCUCAAAUUAUCCCUUUCCUGAACUCCCCCAGCCAGAUUAAUUUCUAAAACCCCUCUGAUGUCAUGGCACAGAGUUUCUGCUAAAUUUGUGCCAUGUCCUUCUGGACUGAAGGAAAUCCCUGUGUAAAAGUUUCCUUGUGAACCCUUAUAACAGAGCCUUAAAAAGUGUGGUUUCAUUUCCUAUUUCAUCUUUUAUUUCCCCUGGGAUGUGAAAAAUCUUGAGACAAUCCCAAGACAAUGAGGGCAGCAGAGUCUGGAUGGCAGGGGUUAAUUAGCUCAUUAGUAUUGAUAUUAUUGCUCCCUUUUCCUGCCUGUUUUUCAACUUUCCUGACAUCCUGGGCCUUUUUUUUUUUUAU